AGCUCCAAUAGCGUAUAUUAAAGUUGUUGCAGUUAAAAAGCUCGUAGUUGGAUCUCAGGCGCAGGCGGGCGGUCCGGCUCGCGCCGGCUCACUGCCCGUUGUUUCCUGCCCUACCCGUCUGCCGGCUCUCUCCCGCGUGGUGCUCUUCGCUGAGCGUCCCGGGUGGCCGGCGCGUUUACUUUGAAAAAAUUAGAGUGUUCAAAGCAGGCCUUAUCGCCUGAAUAAUGGUGCAUGGAAUAAUGGAAUAGGACCUCGGUUCUAUUUUGUUGGUUUCUACGACCGCAGUAAUGAUUAAGAGGGACAAUUGGGGGCAUCCGUAUUUCGUUGUCAGAGGUGAAAUUCUUGGAUUUACGAAAGACGAACAACUGCGAAAGCAUUUGCCAAGAGUGUUUUCAUUAAU
This 400-nucleotide ribosomal RNA is filed under the name phytoplankton environmental sample. RNAcentral describes it as "partial small subunit ribosomal RNA". It matches the Rfam family "Eukaryotic small subunit ribosomal RNA", at positions 587 to 977 of the family's 1831-position model. The record is from RNAcentral.